Molecule: ribosomal RNA, 497 nt
Filed under: uncultured bacterium
Lineage: Bacteria
Description: partial 16S ribosomal RNA
Rfam family: Bacterial small subunit ribosomal RNA
Source: RNAcentral
UCUUCCCUCUUUCUUCGUGCCUAAUACAUGCAAGUCGAGCGAACAGACGAGGAGCUUGCUCCUCUGACGUUAGCGGCGGACGGGUGAGUAACACGUGGAUAACCUACCUAUAAGACUGGGAUAACUUCGGGAAACCGGAGCUAAUACAGGAUAAUAUAUUGAACCGCAUGGUUCAAUAGUGAAAGACGGUUUUGCUGUCACUUAUAGAUGGAUCCGCGCCGCAUUAGCUAGUUGGUAAGGUAACGGCUUACCAAGGCAACGAUGCGUAGCCGACCUGAGAGGGCGAUCGGCCACACUGGAACUGAGACACGGUCCAGACUCCUACGGGAGGCAGCAGUAGGGAAUCUUCCGCAAUGGGCGAAAGCCUGACGGAGCAACGCCGCGUGAGUGAUGAAGGUCUUCGGAUCGUAAAACUCUGUUAUUAGGGAAGAACAAAUGUGUAAGUAACUAUGCACGUCUUGACGGUACCUAAUCAGAAAGCCACGGCUAACUACGUG